AGACUCAGAUAGGAAAGGAAGGAUGCUGCCCAAAAGUAGAAAGAAAAUCCUUCUCCAAAACAUGGUGGAGACACUGGCCUCCACUCUGGACCUUUCAGUAGGCAGAAUGGAUGCACAGCAGCCAGGGGAGCAAUGCGUGGUCUCCUUGCCUCCCGGGAAUGGUCUCAGAGUUCCAGACCUCUGUGAUGUCACUGGAGAGAGGGAAGUGGGCUCCCGCUGCUCCCACCCCCUUCUCCUCUGGAUUUCUGCCGCUUUUGAGGUGAGGGGAGGUGACCUGAGCGACCACCGAGGCCCAGCUCUGUCUCCCCUCCGGCCACCUCAGCCCCCACCGCAUGCAUGGAGAGAAGUUAGUGGGUAAAGCGCACAGAAGUGAACUAGCUUCCAACGGAGCUGGAAACGACGGCCUGCACAGUCUCCGAGGAGGGACAUGUCCUUAGAAGCCAACCCUCCGGGCCUGGAAACCACCACAGUCACUUUCUUCGUCCUCCUCCUAAUCUGCUUCAUUUUCAUCUUCCUUUUAUUGGUGUUUUUUUUAUAUAAAUGUUUCCAAGACAAAAAAGACGACUGGGCAGAAAGAAGUCCUUGCACAGAUGCUAAUGGAGAUGAAGACUGCUCACCUUCGCCUGAGGAAGAGGAGAUGAACGGACCCCAGUGCCAAUCGUGGACUCCAGUGCACCCGUGAGGCCUGGCAUUCUCGUCCAGAGACAGAACAGGGAAGCGGUAACACCCUUAGGAAACAGAAAGGAGGAGGAGGCAGAGGAAGAGGACAAAAUGAAAGACAGGCAAAAGCCUGCGGGUGCCGGAGGAAUGAAUGAAAAGGGUAAAAAUUUGCAGGAAACUUCAGUCAGCGAAAGCCAAAAAAGACCUUUAAAAGGAGUGACAUUUUCUAAGGAGGUAAUUGUUGUGGAUCUUGGGGAUGAACACCCUGCACCUCAAAGAUACGCUCGAAAACAUAAAGAGAGAAAAAGAAGCCAAAAGAAGAAUAAGACAAAAGAAAAUGUAACCGUUGAGUAACAGUGGAAGGACAGGAUACCAAGUCAUGUUGAAACAGCAAAAUACAGUAACAGAAAUGCAGGUGCUUUGGACAGAAGCAAGUGUACCGCAUGCAGAGCUUUAUAAGUGAAAUACUUAGCGCUUGAAUAUAGUUUUUAAAAACUGAAAUCUGAGUUCAAUGAAUUGUAAUACUUUGCCUACUCACUGUCCAAACAUGUAAAUAAAGUUUUUUUAUUUUAGUGCA
RNA transcript from Chinchilla lanigera (long-tailed chinchilla), 1237 nucleotides. It is a transcript of the gene named chromosome unknown open reading frame, human C2orf74, with no coding region annotated. The record is from RefSeq and is a predicted model, not a curated record. The transcript is spliced from 5 exons. Lineage: Eukaryota; Metazoa; Chordata; Mammalia; Rodentia; Chinchillidae.